RNAcentral lists this ribosomal RNA (701 nucleotides) under uncultured bacterium. RNAcentral's name for it is "bacterial SSU rRNA". It matches the Rfam family "Bacterial small subunit ribosomal RNA", at positions 56 to 755 of the family's 1533-position model. The record is from RNAcentral.
UGCAGUCGAACGGUAACAGGUCUUCGGAUGCUGACGGGUGGCGAACGGGUGAGUAAUACAUCGGAACGUGCCCGAGAGUGGGGGAUAACGAAGCGAAAGCUUUGCUAAUACCGCAUACGAUCUCAGGAUGAAAGCAGGGGACCGCAAGGCCUUGCGCUCACGGAGCGGCCGAUGGCAGAUUAGGUAGUUGGUGGGAUAAAAGCUUACCAAGCCGACGAUCUGUAGCUGGUCUGAGAGGACGACCAGCCACACUGGGACUGAGACACGGCCCAGACUCCUACGGGAGGCAGCAGUGGGGAAUUUUGGACAAUGGGCGCAAGCCUGAUCCAGCCAUGCCGCGUGCAGGAUGAAGGCCUUCGGGUUGUAAACUGCUUUUGUACGGAACGAAAAGACUCUGGUUAAUACCUGGGGUCCAUGACGGUACCGUAAGAAUAAGCACCGGCUAACUACGUGCCAGCAGCCGCGGUAAUACGUAGGGUGCGAGCGUUAAUCGGAAUUACUGGGCGUAAAGCGUGCGCAGGCGGUUAUAUAAGACAGAUGUGAAAUCCCCGGGCUCAACCUGGGAACUGCAUUUGUGACUGUAUAGCUAGAGUACGGCAGAGGGGGAUGGAAUUCCGCGUGUAGCAGUGAAAUGCGUAGAUAUGCGGAGGAACACCGAUGGCGAAGGCAAUCCCCUGGGCCUGUAUUGACGCUCAUGCACG